GUGAGGAAUAUUGGUCAAUGGGCGGGAGCCUGAACCAGCCAAGUCGCGUGAAGGAAGAAGGAUCUAUGGUUCGUAAACUUCUUUUGCAGGGGAAUAAAGUGCAGGACGUGUCCUGUUUUGUAUGUACCCUGAGAAUAAGGAUCGGCUAACUCCGCGCCAGCAGCCGCGGUAAUACGGAGGAUCCGAGCGUUAUCCGGAUUUAUUGGGUUUAAAGGGUGCGUAGGUGGUUUGAUAAGUCAGCGGUGAAAGUUUGCAGCUUAACUGUAAAAAUGCCGUUGAAACUGUCGGACUUGAGUGUAAAUGAGGUAGGCGGAAUGCGUGGUGUAGCGGUGAAAUGCAUAGAUAUCACGCAGAACUCCGAUUGCGAAGGCAGCUUACUAAGCUACAACUGACACUGAAGCACGAAAGCGUGGGGAUCAAACAGGAUUAGAAACCCUGGUAGUCC
This 445-nucleotide ribosomal RNA is filed under the name uncultured bacterium. RNAcentral's name for it is "partial 16S ribosomal RNA". It matches the Rfam family "Bacterial small subunit ribosomal RNA", at positions 354 to 796 of the family's 1533-position model. The record is from RNAcentral.